Molecule: long non-coding RNA, 3740 nt
Filed under: Triticum aestivum (bread wheat)
Lineage: Eukaryota; Viridiplantae; Streptophyta; Magnoliopsida; Poales; Poaceae
Description: long non-coding RNA (TAES_LNC015974)
Source: RNAcentral
UAUGGUAGUGUUAAUCGUUAGAACAUUCACAUGUCAUAUUUAUUAUCAACUUUUGUAGAAGGAAGACCCUGUUUUCAAAUCUUAGCUCCGCCACUGAUAGGUGGGGUGCCGGCCGAGGAGGCAACAUCCACUUCUUCUGUGGACAAGGCCGGAGAUCCCGAGAGCAUCAGCAGAAUAGGAGGAGGAGGCAUAGGAGGCUGAGAGGGGUGACAUGGAGCAUGAGAUGGUGCCCUCGCUGCAAGAGAGGGAGCCCUGCCAAUAGUUGUUGUGGGCUUGUGGCACUGGCCACACGCAGCGCAUCACCAACCAUGAUCGUCCAGGCUGUGGCAUGGGGGUCGUGCUUGCUGCUGGUCCAAAGAUUCCCCCACCCUGAUGAUAAGGCCUCAUCCAUUCAAUUUUGACUCUGUAGACCACUAGCUUUUGGUAAGUGCAGCAUGCUCAAGUUUACUUUAUAGCUAUUUUCGUGUUCUGUAAUUCGGUGGUACAAGGUUGUGUGCACAAUACUGGUUUGCUGAAUCUUGGCCUAGAGGUGCUCUCAUUUUAGGCCAAAUACAGCUUAUUCUGAAAGCAUUGCAUCUUUUGGGGAAAUGCUCAUAGGUGGUUUUACUAUGACAGUAUGACCAUGCUUGUAAUGUCGGCUUGUCUUGCUAGGUGGGCUAAUUCAGUAGGCUUAUUCAAUGGCGAAUAGGUCCAUGUAUUAGGUGGGAUGAACAAGUGUUGGUUUGCAGCUGCUAUGUAUAUUUUUAUGGAUCAGAGGCAGUUAAUCUGUCAUUUGCCCCCUUUUGUUAAUUCAAGGCCUUAAGAUUAUGCUCUUAAAUGCAUACACAUGACUUACUUCCAGAUUUAAGAAGUGUGCAUUUUAAAAUGAACUUUAGAGCUGAUGUUGAUCAUAACCAGUACGUGUACAUAGCGGUGCAAAGGAUUUCUUGUUUUCUUCGUAUUGCAUACCAGUUGUUCAAUAUUUGUAUUUGUAGCAUAUUGCGGACUUGUAGUGAAGUAGUGCCUUCUAUGCACCAGAUGUUACUUAUUUUUAGAUAAGAUUUUCUUAAAAUGAAAAAUACUAAAAUGCACAUGUUGCUAAUAAUUUAUUGGUAUUCGAUGACUUCCUUAUCCAUAUUGUGAUUAGUUAUACUAUUUCUUACAGGUUAGAAGGUAUAGAUAAAUAAAUUUGAUUAUAUAUGGGAUAGAGACUAGAAAAAUAUAAGGCGUCAUAUGCAAGUUUUCUAAAAAAUCUUAGGAAUGCAUUGACUUCGGCCUCACACGGGGCAAGACAUGAACCUGAUGCCUGAUAGUUAUCGUCGCUGCACCUUUGCAACUGCUUCUGUUUUCUUGUAAUAUCCUACAUCGAAUGAGAGUUGUUACCAUGCACAUGUUGGUGAUGCAGGUUACAAUGCUACCACAAAGCAUGGUUAAGCCAUGGGUCACUUAUUGAUAAAUGAAGUUGAAGUCAAUUUUUGUGCAAAAUGAAAUAUAUAUUCUUCGAUUAAUGAUUUAGUAGAUAUUGAUUUAAACUGCUUAUAUUGAUUUUUGUGUUCAGGUUGAGAUAACUAGGGUAAUUUUCUAGCCAUACAAGUAAGAUAAUAUGCCUUGAGUAUUCAAACCAGGUAAUCAAUUUUUGCAACUUGAUAUUUGAUUCUUGCAAGGAAUAUUGUUGUUUGCCUGAUUAACGAGAUACUCAAGUCACUUUACAAAAAUGGUACGUCUUUGGAGGCCUUCAUAGGGAAAACUGCUGGCGUUGGCAUCGCUGUUGUCAGUUAUAAACGAAAUGAUCUUUAGCGUGAUGGAAAGUUAUCAGCUCUCGUGGUGAUCACUGAUGAUCUUUAGCAUUGCAUAGUGAGUAUGAGAUUGGACCUCCGUCUUUGGUACAAAUUUGGUUCCCGUCCGCCUAAGUAGUAGUAGAGGGAUCAUAUAAUGCUUAUUUGCAUUGUGCUUUCCCUUCUUUGGUGGAAAUUAAUUUCAUUUCCAUUACCAAAUUUGUACAGAAAAUGUAGAAUGCUAAUGGCAUAAUUACUUUUUCCUCCAGAGCAGAGUUUCUAAGCAAACAAAAAUGGCCACUUGUCCUGCAUAGUGCAUGCAGAGGAGAAAAGUAUGUGCUACCAUAUCCUGAUUGUCAAGAGUAAAUGUGUGUAUGGUUUUCACUUAAGGCAUUGUUCUGAAGUGUCUUUGCAACUUCAGAUUGUGAUUUUAGUGUUACUAUUUCUUACAUGUUAGAAGGUGCACAUUAUCUUUCUCAUCCCAUCUUUGCACAUUAGUUAUUAUCUAUAAUCAGAGAGUAAGAAAUGAAAUAUUUAUUUAUUUUUAGCAUCAAAAUGUUAAAUAUGCAUGACAUCAGAUCCAAUGCACAUAUCUAAAUUAAGACAAAUUUGUUUGAUCAGUGGAGAAUUGCAUACCUUUUUUUUAUUCUGUGCCAACACACGGGUAUUUAUCUAGGCGGAUAUAGACAAUGUGUUAUUUAAUGCAUUGUUAUUUAGUUGGCUAUAGUUGGCCGGUACUAAGUUCUAAAAAGCACCCUCCUCCAAGAGCCAAAUUUCUGUAAAAUUUAGAGUGAAUAAAUCUUUGUUCUAUAUGCAUGCAAUUUUUGGCAGCAUCUUUUAGUUUCUUUUACCGGGAGUGUUAGUUUCUUUUAGAAUUUAGAAAUGGUUGUUCAUGUGUUCCUUCUCACCAGAUCGGAGUUGAUUGGUUUGUUUGUUCCUUUUUAUCAGUCAUCUACCAUGUAAUGUUCUAUGUGAGUUUUUGUUUUAGUCCAAGGAUAUAUUUUCUCUCAUGUGCUUUAAUCAUAUGCACACAUGGUUGCGCAUUGGAGUGUGGGUGCAAUAUUAAAACCAGUCGAUCAUUCCUUUGUUUGUUCCUUUCUAUCAGUCAUAUACCAUGGAAUGUUCUAUAUGAGUUUUUGUUUUUGUCCAAGGAUAUAUUUUCUCUCAUGUGCUUUAAUCAUAUGCGCACAUGGUUGCGCAUUGGAGUGUGGGUGCAAUAUUAAAACCAGUCGAUCAUUCCUUUGUUUGUUCCUUUUUAUCAGUCAUCUACCAUGGAAUGUUCCAUAUGAGUUUUGGUUUAGUCCAAGGAUAUAUUUUCUCUCAUGUGCUUUAAUCAUAUGCGCACAUGGUUGCGCAUUGGAGUGUGGGUGCAAUAUUAAAACCAGUCGAUCAUUCCUUUUUAUGAUGAAUUUAAUAAAUUUUAUUUUGAAUGUAGUCUUAAGACAUCUAUUGUAUUUUUAGACUAAAAUUUUGAAUUGUAGGGUCUAUGUCAGUGAUGUGAAGCUUACCUGUUCUAUGAUGUUUUAACAACAGGCCAUCCAUGGUUGCUUGACAGGAAACAGAGAAGUAGCAGGAUGGGUAUAAUCAACUCAGCUGUUGGUUGCAUUGGGAGGUGGCAUGAACAAAGUAAAGGGGAAGAAAGCGAGCUUGGACACUAGGUGGUGGCACCAACCUGCAACUGUUUUGUUUCGGUCAAAGCAGGGGAGGGGUCAGGCAUGAACCAAACAGCUAUGGCUUAUUGCUUUGAGUCUUGCCGCACUAGGCAAGGUUAGAUCUUGUAAUGUCAUUUUCACGAUGCAAUGAUCAAGCUCUAAGAAAUUCUUGCGUACAUGUCUUUCAGUACUAUUUUUUCCCAUGGUUCAUCUGUGUAUGUCAUUUCCGUGAUGCGGUGAUUUUAAUAAUCUUGCUUAAAAUCGUUACUUAUUAGUUGUAACCAUUGUGGUCAAAUAAAGUUGGAAGCUUAAUCUUCAACCUUGUACAUUGUAG